UAGGAAUCUUCACAAUGGGCGCAAGCCUGAUGGAGCAACACCGCGUGAGUGAAGAAGGGUUUCGGCUCGUAAAGCUCUGUUGUUAAAGAAGAACACGUAUGAGAGUAACUGUUCAUACGUUGACGGUAUUUAACCAGAAAGUCACGGCUAACUACGUGCCAACAGCCGCGGUAAUACGUAGGUGGCAAGCGUUAUCCGGAUUUAUUGGGCGUAAAGAGAGUGCAGGCGGUUUUCUAAGUCUGAUGUGAAAGCCUUCGGCUUAACCGGAGAAGUGCAUCGGAAACUGGAUAACUUGAGUGCAGAAGAGGGUAGUGGAACUCCAUGUGUAGCGGUGGAAUGCGUAGAUAUAUGGAAGAACACCAGUGGCGAAGGCGGCUACCUGGUCUGCAACUGACGCUGAGACUCGAAAGCAUGGGUAGCGAACAGGAUUAGAUACCCUGGUAG
Molecule: ribosomal RNA, 444 nt
Filed under: uncultured bacterium
Lineage: Bacteria
Description: bacterial SSU rRNA
Rfam family: Bacterial small subunit ribosomal RNA
Source: RNAcentral